Molecule: ribosomal RNA, 419 nt
Filed under: Bradyrhizobium sp.
Lineage: Bacteria; Pseudomonadati; Pseudomonadota; Alphaproteobacteria; Hyphomicrobiales; Nitrobacteraceae
Description: bacterial SSU rRNA
Rfam family: Bacterial small subunit ribosomal RNA
Source: RNAcentral
GUGGGAACGUACCUUUUGGUUCGGAACAACUGAGGGAAACUUCAGCUAAUACCGGAUAAGCCCUUACGGGGAAAGAUUUAUCGCCGAAAGAUCGGCCCGCGUCUGAUUAGCUAGUUGGUGAGGUAAUGGCUCACCAAGGCGACGAUCAGUAGCUGGUCUGAGAGGAUGAUCAGCCACAUUGGGACUGAGACACGGCCCAAACUCCUACGGGAGGCAGCAGUGGGGAAUAUUGGACAAUGGGCGCAAGCCUGAUCCAGCCAUGCCGCGUGAGUGAUGAAGGCCCUAGGGUUGUAAAGCUCUUUUGUGCGGGAAGAUAAUGACGGUACCGCAAGAAUAAGCCCCGGCUAACUUCGUGCCAGCAGCCGCGGUAAUACGAAGGGGGCUAGCGUUGCUCGGAAUCACUGGGCGUAAAGGGUGCG